GACGAACGCUGGCGGCGUGCUUAACACAUGCAAGUGGAGCGACGAACCAGGCUUCGGCCUGGGGCAAAGCCGCGAACGGGUGAGUAACACGUGGGUAACCUGCCCUGAUGACCGGGACAACCCGAGGAAACUCGGGCUAAUACCGGAUGUGCUCCCACCACACCAGUGGUGUGAGUAAAGGUAGCUUCGGCCUCCGCAUCGGGAUGGGCCCGCGGCGCAUUAGCUUGUUGGUGGGGUAAAGGCCACCAAGGCAACGAUGCGUAGCUGGUCUGAGAGGACGAUCAGCCACACUGGGACUGAGACACGGCCCAGACUCCUACGGGAGGCAGCAGUGGGGAAUCUUGCGCAAUGCGCGAAAGCGUGACGCAGCAACGCCGCGUGAGUGAAGAAGGCCUGGUUGUAAG
Molecule: ribosomal RNA, 404 nt
Filed under: uncultured bacterium
Lineage: Bacteria
Description: bacterial SSU rRNA
Rfam family: Bacterial small subunit ribosomal RNA
Source: RNAcentral